Long non-coding RNA from Tachyglossus aculeatus (Australian echidna), 838 nucleotides. RefSeq lists it as uncharacterized. The record is from RefSeq and is a predicted model, not a curated record. The transcript has 3 exons. NCBI's taxonomy places the organism in Eukaryota, Metazoa, Chordata, Mammalia, Monotremata, Tachyglossidae.
GAAGAGACUUGGCAGUUUAUUCGACAACCUUUCCCUGGGCCUGUCUGAGCAACAAAGGCUCUUUGUCCCGGCCAAAGUAAUCCUUCCAGCCCUAAAACUCACAGUAGCUCCCACAGAGAAAACAUCUCAAAAAUGUGUAUCCCGGGACCAAAUAUUUGAGAUUGGUCGAGCGCCUGCUGCUCACCAUCUCCAACCCGCGACCCCAGCUAGAGUUUAUUCUGAGCCAGAGAGGGGUUGAAGAGGGAACUGAUGCCAUCUCCUAAGCUCUGAUCUUCUACCCCGCCACAGUGACGCACCUACCGUCUGCAUCCUUCAAAUCUUUAAACCCAGAGGGAGGGACCAGAACUUCGCUUGAGAGGACCAGGCUGAGCUUGACCGCUGAAUCGGCCUCCUCGCUGACUUCCUGGCUUCCAGCCUCUCCCUUCUCCAGGUCUGGCCCAGGAGGGAAUCAUGGGAUGAGGCGUCUGCCUGUUUGCACUGCCCGCUUCCUCUCUGCCUCCCGGAGAUGUCUCCUUACCAGGCUGUGUCGCUGAGCACCGCCAUGACUUCGUCCGCGAUGGCCGCAUCCACGACGUCACUGUAGGACUGGCCUUUCUCUCCUGGAUUCCCAUCUCUACCUGCGUGAGCCUGCCGAAUGGGCUUCCUCUGGACACUGGAACGAAAGAAGCUGAGACCACGCUCGGGAACCUCUGCUGUUACCUGAGACUUUUCUCCAAGUUUCUCCACCCCUACUACAGGUCCAUCUAUAAUUUCUUUUCCUGUCUCCUGCUCUACUCUGAAAGCUCCUGGUGGGUGGGAAGCCAGUCUGCCAACUCUAUUACAGUGUACCCUCCCAAGU